GGACCUAGUGGUUCUUCAUUAAAGAACCACUAGACACCAUACAGAGGUUGUGUCAUCAGAGAACACAGCCUGCUCUGUCAGUCAGCUUGCUGUACUUGGUUGUAAUGUGCUACCUAGCUUGUUAUUCCAGUCUCCACACGUUAUCUCAUCCCUCAUGCACACCUUACACAACAGAUUCCCAUGAUAUCACACUCCACACAUUGUUAAUGUUCAAUUAAGCAUUCAAUUAAUUUGCUUUUGUUAAAUAAAUCACUUUUGUUAUACCGUUAA
Long non-coding RNA from Megalops cyprinoides (Indo-Pacific tarpon), 270 nucleotides. RefSeq lists it as uncharacterized. The transcript has 2 exons. The record is from RefSeq and is a predicted model, not a curated record. NCBI's taxonomy places the organism in Eukaryota, Metazoa, Chordata, Actinopteri, Elopiformes, Megalopidae.